RNAcentral lists this ribosomal RNA (681 nucleotides) under Triticum aestivum (bread wheat). Its description in RNAcentral is "partial small subunit ribosomal RNA". Lineage: Eukaryota; Viridiplantae; Streptophyta; Magnoliopsida; Poales; Poaceae. The record is from RNAcentral.
AUGCCACUCCACCAACCCAUCUCGCUGGGCGCUUGGUUGUAUAUAAAAGCGCACGGCAGCACAAGCACAGCAGCAACCCCAGCCCCCGCUAAGCAUCAGCCUUCUACCUCCUCUGCUUUGCAUUCCUCCUUCCAGUUCCAACCGCAAUCAAUGGCUGCCAUGAAGAUCACCCUCCUUGCCGUGGCCGCAAUCUCGGCACUCUUACUAGGCACCGCAUCGGCGGCGACCUACGGUGUCGGCGAGCCGGGCGGUUCGUGGACCCUCAACACCGACUACAGCAACUGGGUGUCCAACAAGAAGUUCCACCCGGGUGAUGAGAUCGUCUUCAAGUACUCGACCCCGGCGCACGACGUGGUCGAGGUGAGCAAGGCCGGCUACGACUCCUGCAGCACCGACGGCGCCAUCAACACCUUAACCUCCGGCAACGACGUCAUCUCCCUCAACGCCACAGGCACUCGGUACUUCAUCUGUGGCGUCCCUAGCCAUUGCAGCCCCACCGCCGCUGCCAGCAUGAAGGUCACCAUCGAAGUGGUGCCGGGUGCCUCCUCGCCAUCGUCACCCAUGCCGGCCGCGGGUCCCGGCGCGACCAACCCGCCGCCGCCCUCCUCUACCGCAACCUCCGUCGGGGCCGCAGCAGGAUUUGGCCUCGUCGCCCUACUGGCGGCCGGUCUCAUGGCUUAA